UCAGUUCGGACUGGGGUCUGCAACCGACCCCACGAAGCUGGAUUCGCUAGUAAUCGCGCAUCAGCCAUGGCGCGGUGAAUACGUUCCCGGGCCUUGUACACACCGCCCGUCAAGCCAUGAAAGCCGGGGGCGCCUGAAGUCCGUGACCGCGAGGGUCGGCCUAGGGUGAAACCGGUGAUUGGGGCUAAGUCGUAACAAGGUACC
RNAcentral lists this ribosomal RNA (204 nucleotides) under uncultured bacterium. RNAcentral's name for it is "partial 16S ribosomal RNA". It matches the Rfam family "Bacterial small subunit ribosomal RNA", at positions 1288 to 1500 of the family's 1533-position model. The record is from RNAcentral.